Molecule: ribosomal RNA, 671 nt
Filed under: uncultured bacterium
Lineage: Bacteria
Description: bacterial SSU rRNA
Rfam family: Bacterial small subunit ribosomal RNA
Source: RNAcentral
GGUAAUCAAAAGUUAAUCAUUAAAUCUUAGUAGCAAUUACUAAAUCAAUUUUUAAUAACAAAUUACUAGAGUAAAAAAGAGGAUUGUAGAAUUUCAAGUGGAGAAAUAAAAUUCGUAGAUUUUUGAAGGAAUAUCGAAAGCGAAGGCAACAAUCUGGUUUUAUACUGACGCUGAUUCACGAAAGCCUAGGUAGCAACCGGGAUUAGAGACCCCGUUAGUCUAGGCUGUAAACGAUGAGUACUCAUUUUUGGAUAGAACAUAUUCAGAAAUUUAGCUAACGCGUUAAGUACUCCACCUGAGGAGUACAGUGGCAACACUGAAACUCAAAGGAAUUGACGGGGAUUUAUACCAUUCGUGGAAUAUGUGGUUUAAUUCGUAAAUACACGCAAAACCUUACCAACUUUUGAAUGAUUUUAUAUUCUAAUGAAGAAAUUUGUUAUGUUAAAAAUUACAGGUACUGCAUGGCUGUCGUCAGCUCGUGUCUUGAGAUGUUAGGUUUAGUCCAGUAACGAGCGAAACCCUUUUUCUUUGUUGCAAAAGACAAUUUGUUCAUUUAUAUUAAUUGAACCGUGUUUGUGUACUUAAAAGAGUAUUGCCCUAUGAUAUAUAGGAUGAAAGAAAAGGAUGACGUCAAGUCUUCAUGGUCCUUAUAAGUUGGGCUACACAUGUAU